CGGGGGGCAGCAGUGGGGAAUCUUGGACAAUGGGGGGAACCCUGAUCCAGCGAUGCCGCGUGUGUGAAGAAGGCCUUAGGGUUGUAAAGCACUUUAAUGAGGGAGGAGUAGGGUGCGUUGAAUAGACGUAUCUGAGGACGUUACCUCAAGAAUAAGCACCGGCUAACUCUGUGCCAGCAGCCGCGGUAAUACAGAGGGUGCGAGCGUUAAUCGGAAUUAUUGGGCGUAAAGGGAGCGUAGGCGGAUUGACAAGUGGUAUGUGAAAUACCCGGGCUUAACCUGGGGAGGUCAUAUCAGACUGUUAGUCUAGAGUAUGGUAGAGGAAGGUGGAAUUCCUGGUGUAGCGGUGAAAUGCGUAGAUAUCAGGAAGAACAUCGAUGGCGAAGGCAGCCUUCUGGGCCAUUACUGACGCUGAGGCUCGAAAGCGUGGGGAGCGAACAGGAUUAGAUACCCCAGU
This 457-nucleotide ribosomal RNA is filed under the name uncultured prokaryote. Its description in RNAcentral is "bacterial SSU rRNA". It matches the Rfam family "Bacterial small subunit ribosomal RNA", at positions 342 to 791 of the family's 1533-position model. The record is from RNAcentral.